Non-coding RNA from Potamilus streckersoni, 79 nucleotides. NCBI's taxonomy places the organism in Eukaryota, Metazoa, Mollusca, Bivalvia, Unionida, Unionidae. The record is from the annotation of a GenBank genome assembly.
GAUCCGCUCCGUUGGCCUAAAUGGUUUCAGCAUCCGCCUCGUAUGCGGGAGGUCGCGGCUUCGAAACCCGGCGGAAUUA